ACCUUGAGAAGAGCACAAAAGCCUGAUGCCUGGAUCCCUCCUGGGGCCACUAGGAGGAAAGUAUGUGCUCAUACCGACAUACACAUGUGCCGGAGCUGAAGGCACACCCCCUUGAAUUGCACACAUAGGAUCAGAGGCUUACAGAAUGGGCUGGCACUCACACACAGGGCACACACAGGGACACACAGACUUGCCCAGACAACACACACACACAGGCAUGCACAGACGCAUGUGUCCAAGCCAAGAGGCACACCCUCCCCCUGCCAAAGAAAUACACAGACAAGACCAAAGGUACGCAGAUAUCGCACAAAGGGACACCCAGAGAUGAGCAAACCCACGACACGACACAUGCACGCACAGAGGGAUGAGCACUCGCCCACAGACACACGCUACAGAAACAUCCAAACACCCACAGCGGGGCUCCUCCUAUCCUUGAGGGGUGGCAUGCUGCUAGGGAAGGGGAAAGAAAGCUGCACUUGGGUGGGUAGUCAGAGCCACAAUCGCCUUGACCCCUACAAGUAUCCCUAAGCCUCUGAUCUGGGGAUGCCCCCACCACCUGCCUCAUAUGUACCCCAAGUUUUGCAUAAUACCUCCUCAAUCUGGGUCCUUUCGAUACCUAGAGAUCUCCCAUCUCUAGCCCCCAAACAGCUAUUUCACUUAGCCUUGAAGAACCCCACAAAAGUGUCUGGAACCCGCCAGCUCUGACACCCCACAAUGGGAGGGAUGUUCCUUGGCCUCUCAUGGGUGUCUAAGGAUAUGGGGGGGCAGGUCUUCCUCUUUCUGCAUUUGACUUAAGUCUUUUCUUCUGUUUUCCUACUUUUUCCUGCUUCCAUUUUCUUCAACUCCCUUCCCACAGUUCCAAUACCCAUGUCUCCACCAUCUCUGCAUUCAAACUCUUCCUUCUCUCUUGCCCUACCCCCUCCUCCACAAGGAGCCUCCAAGGUCAACUGCAGGCCGGGGGAGAUGCUGAGAUGUUUCCUGUCCUUGCCCAUUCCCCCCAUGUUCUAAUCUGACUGUUCCAAACCCAGUCUCUGUCUCCUGAGUAGAUGCUGAGCUCAGCUGCUGGACAAGAAAACAGCAUAGGACAGAGUCACAGCCACCUCCAGGGUCCCUGAAAUCUGCAGUCAUGCCUCUCACUUGUACCUCCUUUGGAUCCUCUGCUUUUCCUUCUGGAAAAUGGGACGGCAAAGAGGAAAGCAUGUCAGAGCCUUCGGCACCAGCAGAGUCAUUUUGAGGAAAUCAUCUUAAACAUCAGAAAAAGCUCUCUGAACAAAACACAUCCACUACAUCACUCAUCAAGAACAUGCAGAACAGUGAACAAAAGGGGAAUAUUAAGUAAAUUAUGGUACAUCCACUUGACUGGAAAAGCCUGGAGACAUUAGCUGCCAUGUUUAUGAAGCACUGGUUACAAAACAGGAAAAGGCUGGCGUUGUCACCAGCAAAAAAAAAAAAAAAAAAAAAAAAAAAG
Long non-coding RNA from Fukomys damarensis (Damara mole-rat), 1468 nucleotides. RefSeq lists it as uncharacterized. The transcript has 2 exons. NCBI's taxonomy places the organism in Eukaryota, Metazoa, Chordata, Mammalia, Rodentia, Bathyergidae. The record is from RefSeq and is a predicted model, not a curated record.